RNAcentral lists this ribosomal RNA (277 nucleotides) under uncultured Glomus. RNAcentral describes it as "partial 18S ribosomal RNA". It matches the Rfam family "Eukaryotic small subunit ribosomal RNA", at positions 548 to 829 of the family's 1831-position model. Lineage: Eukaryota; Fungi; Glomeromycota; Glomeromycetes; Glomerales; Glomeraceae. The record is from RNAcentral.
UUGGAGGGCAAGUCUGGUGCCAGCAGCCGCGGUAAUUCCAGCUCCAAUAGCGUAUAUUAAAGUUGUUGCAGUUAAAAACGCUCGUAGUUGAAUUUCGGGGUUAGUAGGUUGGUCAUGCCUCUGGUAUGUACUGGUCUCACUGAUUCCUCCUUCCUUAUGAACCGUAAUGCCAUUAAUUUGGUGUUGCGGGGAAUUUGGACUGUUACUUUGAAAAAACUUGAGUGUUUAAAGCAAGCUAACGCUUGAAUACAUUAGCAUGGAAUAAUGAAAUAGGACG